CCUACGGGAGGCAGCAGUGAGGAAUAUUGGUCAAUGGGCGAGAGCCUGAACCAGCCAAGUCGCGUGAGGGAGUACUGCCCUAUGGGUUGUAAACCUCUUUUGUCGGGGAGCAAAAGCCGGACGUGUCCGGCUGUGAGAGUACCCGAAGAAAAAGCAUCGGCUAACUCCGUGCCAGCAGCCGCGGUAAUACGGAGGAUGCGAGCGUUAUCCGGAUUUAUUGGGUUUAAAGGGUGCGCAGGCGGAUUUUUAAGUCAGCGGUAAAAUCGUGGGGCUCAACCCCAUCCAGCCGUUGAAACUGGGGAUCUAGAGUGUGCGAGAGGUAUGCGGAAUGCGUGGUGUAGCGGUGAAAUGCAUAGAUAUCACGCAGAACCCCGAUUGCGAAGGCAGCAUACCGGUGCAUAACUGACGCUCAGGCACGAAAGCGUGGGUAUCGAACAGGAUUAGAUACCCCGGUAGUC
Molecule: ribosomal RNA, 458 nt
Filed under: uncultured bacterium
Lineage: Bacteria
Description: partial 16S ribosomal RNA
Rfam family: Bacterial small subunit ribosomal RNA
Source: RNAcentral